Callithrix jacchus (white-tufted-ear marmoset) is the source of this 1560-nucleotide non-coding RNA. Lineage: Eukaryota; Metazoa; Chordata; Mammalia; Primates; Cebidae. The record is from RefSeq and is a predicted model, not a curated record.
ACUAUGAACAGAAAAGUGAAAUGUUAUGAAAUGAGGCACUCCAAAAACUAAAACACAACAUACAGAAUUCAAUUUCUUAAGAAAGACUAAACUUCACUUCCCAAAAAUAAAAUAGAAAGAUGCAAUAUCAGAGCACAUGCAUGUGCUUCUUAUUUAAUAAAUCUAAGUAGAAUAAAGUAUAAUAUCAUCUUGAAACUACCUCUAUUUUGAAGAUCUAUUUAAUAGAAAGCAAACAUUUUUAAAUAACAUGAUAUUAUUUGCUUUGUGUGGACUGCAAAUUAAAACUAAUGGGAAUUCUUUAGGACUCUAUCCUAAGGAAAUAAACAACAUUGUGGUGAAAGAUUCACGUUCAAUGAUGUUUACCACAAGAGUAUUCACAAUACCGAAAAUUUAGAAGUAAUCUACAUGUUAAUAAAGGAUGAGUAAAUACAUUAUGGCACACUCACAUAAUGGAACAUUACACAGCCAUCAGAACUAUUUUCAAAGGCCAGUUAAUGAAAAAAUGCUUAUGAUAAAAUAAGUACAAAAAAUUCAGUACAAAAUUAUAUUCUGAACAUGACCAGUUUUAUAAAAUCUACAUGUGUAAAUGCACAUACAAAAACCCUGUUGGAGAAGCAUGGCAAUUUGAAACAGCAUACUGGAUGGGACAACAAAGCAUAUUCUUUGUUUUCUUUACACCCGUCCCUGUAUUUUCCAAGUUUUCUAUAAUAAGCAUGUGCUACAUAUAUAUCCAAAAAUAAAAUUUAACACAAGAAAACUGAACUGCUUGUUUAGAACUAAUCAUUUGUAUCGAUACCACUUUGUCACAAGAUGAAUGAUAGGGAGCAGUAUUAUCUCAGCAUUUACAACUUUACCAAUAUUUACUUUAAGCAAUUAAACUAUAUAUACUACUUUUGAUUCUACCACCAAAAUAAUCUCCACUUUCCCUUUCUCCAGGAUAAAGAUAAAAUGGUCAUGUCCUAAUUUUCUUGUCCCUGUAUCCUUUCUGCUACAGCAUCUGCUGAGACUCACAGGAGAAUAUGGAAUGUAAUCUAUCCAAUCACAGUCAGUGUGAUUAUUUUAUUCCAAAUAUCUACCAAGGAAUGACCAGGAGAAUAAGAUCCUCGGAUGUUCUUAAUGGUUUGGUGUCAGGAGGCUGCCUCUUAGACAAUCUCCAGAUGUACUGUGAUGUAAGCUUGAAAAAGAGUUCCUGAAGUAACACAUCUGGGAGACAUGCCACUAUCUGAGCUUCCCAAAAGUCUACCAAGAGCUGAGGAAUUGUAUCUUCAUCCUUAGCACAAAGCACCUUGAAAACAGUAAAAGAAGCCUAUAUAUUACAGAAAAAUAUAGCAUUGAUAAAGCAACAGCUGGGCUGAAUAUCAUAUCAUCACGUGGGCCAUGUAAUUAAUAAUUUACCAUUAGCAUUAGUGCCAUGGCAAAAGCAAAUUUAGACAUUUUGAAAGGAAUCAGAUUCUAGGUUGUACAAAUAAAGUUUCUCCAGAUAUAGUCUUUUAAUCUGUACUUUUAUUUUAUGAACUGAUUAUGUAUUUCUGUUUUUUCAAUAAACAAACAACUGAAAAA